Long non-coding RNA from Myripristis murdjan (pinecone soldierfish), 117 nucleotides. RefSeq lists it as uncharacterized. The record is from RefSeq and is a predicted model, not a curated record. The transcript has 3 exons. Lineage: Eukaryota; Metazoa; Chordata; Actinopteri; Holocentriformes; Holocentridae.
UCGUUCAGAUGUUUUGCCAUUGGCUUUUUGGCGAUACAGAGCUCUUGCAUUUGUUAUGAGCGCUUUCACCUACAAAUUGACUUGGCAUGAAUAGCACAAAGUGCCAACAGACAGACA